ACAAAUAGGAGCUGAAUCAAAUUCACACUAGUGGUAGAUGUAGGUUGCACGUACACUGGUUCACAGAUCAACUAGUAACUAAAUUGACCGAAGAAAAAACUGAACAGUAGAAAGACUACUGGAAACAACACACACAAGACGCUCACAAGCAAACUCUUAUUUGAGUGGAGAUAUACGUAGAUGGUAGCUAAUAGUAGCUAUAGGUUGAUCCAUAGGCUUGUUGCAUGCGCCAUGCAUGCAAGAGAAGAAGGG
Molecule: long non-coding RNA, 252 nt
Filed under: Triticum aestivum (bread wheat)
Lineage: Eukaryota; Viridiplantae; Streptophyta; Magnoliopsida; Poales; Poaceae
Description: long non-coding RNA (TAES_LNC024257)
Source: RNAcentral